GGGGAAAAUUAAAAAUUUAAAUUUAAUAAAAAAAAUUUUAAUAUUAAAAAGAAAAAUGGGGGUUUAAGUAUUUUUAAUAGAAAAAAUUAAUAUUUUUAUAGUUAAAUAUUACUGUAAAGGAAUUUAUAAAUAAAUGAAAUAAAAUUAAUAAUAAAGUAAAUUUAAUUUAUUGUAUCUUGUGUAUCAGAGUUUAUUAAAUAAUAAUAAUUUAUUUAAAUAAAUCUCGAAUUUAAAAGAGUUAAUUAAUUAAUAAAGUUAAUGUUGAAUAAUUAUUUUUAAUAAUUAAUUAGAAAUGAAAUGUUAAUCGUUUUUAAAUAUAUCUAGUUUUUUCAGAAAAAAAUUUAAUUUUAAAUUUAAAUAAUUUUAUAAUUAAUUAAUUAAUUAUAAAAAUUUAAAAUUUAAUAUUUUAGGGGAUAAGCUUUAAAUUAAAAAUUUAUAAUUAAAUUAAAAUUAAAAUUAAAAUUUUUAAAAUUUAUAUUGUUUAAAAAUUAUAAUUUAUUAUAAAAAAUUUUAUUUAAAAUAAAAUUUAAAAUAAGAAAAUUUAAAUUUUUAUGAAAAAAUAAUUUAUAAUUUAAUAAAAUUAGAAAUAAUGAUAAAAUUAGUAUAAUAAAAUAAAUAAAAUAAAAUUUAUAUAUAAUUAAAUUAAAGGAAUUCGGCAAACAUUUAUAUUCACUUGUUUAUCAAAAACAUGUCUUUUUGAUAAUAAUUUAAAGUCUAAUCUGCCCACUGAUAUAAAUAUUAAAGGGCUGCAGUAUAUUGACUGUACAAAGGUAGCAUAAUCAUUAGUCUUUUAAUUGGAGACUUGUAUGAAAGAUUUGAUGAGAUAUAAACUGUCUCUAAUUUAUGAUUAGAAAUUAAUUUUUUAGUUAAAAAGCUAAAAUAAAAUUAAAAGACGAGAAGACCCUAUAGAGUUUUAUAUUUUAUUUAUUUAAUUUUAAAUAUAUAAUUAAAUAUAUUAAUUAAAUAAAAUAUUGUAUUGGGGUGAUAGAAAAAUUUAAUAAACUUUUUUUAAAAAUAAACAUAAAUAAGUGAGUAAUUGAUCCAUUUAUAGUGAUUAAAAGAAAAAAUUACCUUAGGGAUAACAGCGUAAUAUUUUUUUUUAGUACAAAUAAAAAAAAAAGUUUGCGACCUCGAUGUUGGAUUAAGAUAAAAUUUAAAUGCAAAAGUUUAAAAUUUUGAUCUGUUCGAUCAUUAAAAUCUUACAUGAUCUGAGUUCAAACCGGUGUAAGCCAGGUUGGUUUCUAUCUUUAAUAAAAAAAAAUAUUUUAGUACGAAAGGAUCAAAUAUUUAAAAUAAUUUUAGUUAAAUGAAUAUUAAUAAUAUAAUAUA
This 1329-nucleotide ribosomal RNA is filed under the name Junonia terea. RNAcentral's name for it is "16S ribosomal RNA". The record is from RNAcentral. Lineage: Eukaryota; Metazoa; Arthropoda; Insecta; Lepidoptera; Nymphalidae.